GUAAAAUAUUUGGAAUAGUCCCUGUGCUGUACAAUAUAUCCUUAUAGCUUAUUUCUUGCACAGUAGUUUAAUCCCCUAGGUUAUGUCUCUUUUUCUUUUUUCUAAUACAUACCCCUAUCCUCAGAAGUGAGUAAAAACUGAAUAAAAGUAUUGAACUUAAAAAAUUAAUAUAACUGAAUGUAUAUGACUUUUGUUCCUUCUGUGGGAUAAAGUUGAACUGAGUGAAGUAGAUGAUACUUGAGACAGACGAGGACUUCAGUAAGAAGUGAUUUUUAGGAAAAAGACUGCAGCCAAACUUUAAAAAUAAAAUAUUAACCUCUGUUAUUGAAAACACUAUCCUCUCUGUAACAUAUUCCACAUAAACAGAUCAAGUGCCUGCCUUCCUGACCAUAAGCAUUUCCACGAUGCAAGAGAACGCAUGAUCCUUUCCUAGGUGUUUACAAACAGGAGGAGGCCCACUUACUUGUAAAAGCUUUUCAGGUUAAAGGCCCAGUGAUAUUUUCGUCAGCAACUUUGAGAACAACUGGGGACUGGAUGGUUACGUGAGUACUUCCUGGAGGGUUUUCUAAUCAUCAUGUCUGCAUAGAGGUGGGGGCACCAAUGGGGAUUCCUUCAAAGACAACCUGGGUCCUGUUUGCACCGUGAAAACUCAGGCCCUUGUCCUGACCUCGCAGCAAUGCUAUCCCUUCAUCAUCUGAUGGAAGAAAGCCGUCUCUGAGAUCAGAAAGAAACUGGCCUGGAGCGACAGGCUGUUCCUGCCAGACAGAAGAGCUUAGAUGCAGACCACACCCCACUGUAAGAAUGGUCCCACACUCUUCCCCGGCCCCAGUAACCACCCAGCUAGCAAUGAGAGAGAUUCCAGACGCCCCUUCACAGUCUCCUUUGCAAGUUAACCCUUUGCUUCUGCACUAAUUCAUCACCAAACUGGAGCGUCAACAGCCUCACAUGACACACAGGAGACAGCAGCUGUGACACAAUACCAUUCGGACAUGAAAGGGGAGAGUGUACUUUUCAAGGUGACAUACACAGAAAAGACUUGGAAAUUCAAGCUGAAAAGGCAAGAUAUGCUGCACUUACGUGAUUUUUCUAAUCAAAUAUCAGAUGAGAAGAGGCAUCUCUCAUGGAGCUCAGAUGAUAAGCACCACGUUUCUCCUGAAUGGUAUCAGCUACUUUCUACUUUACUUACAGAAUGCUACUAAUGUAUUAAUUGUACACAGAGGAGUACCACUAUGUAUGAUUUGACACCAAACAGCCUGGUGGGCUGCCGUCUAUGGGGUCGCACAGAGUCAGACACGACUGAAGCGACUUAGCAGCAGCAGCAACAGCCUUUCAGAGGUACAUGAGUGUAGUAUUUGGGGAUGGUUGUCAGUGAUGUACUCAUUUCAUAAAUUCUUUAUCAAUAUCCUGAGGGAUUCCAAAGGAAAUAUAUACCAACCUGUAAUAAUCACACUUGAAAAACAAAAAACUUGACCAAAAGGGAUAAUUAAUCAAAAAAUACUCUAAACCCACCUUUCCAAAUUAAGAACUUGUAUAUAGAAGAGCUUUAAAUUACAAUGUCAGCCAUGGCUGAGAUGGAGCUUUCAAUGGGGUUAUAUAAUUUUGAGAUAAUGAAAAUAGGCCAGCACUAAUGAUGGUGAAGUUUUCUCUUGCUCUGAGCCAAACCCUGUGGUUAUCUGCUCUCCUUUCUCAGAGGCACAUGCUCUAGGAAUUCAGUCUAAGGACACUCCAGUGAGCUUUGCACUAUACUCUGUGGAUGUCGAAGUUUACUGAUCCAGUGAGCCUGACCAGAACCAUCAUUUUGCUGUUAAGAAUUUUCUUUGCACUGCUCCAAUUCUUUUUAAUCUAACAAAAGAACAGCUUGUUUUAACAACUAAUUUUUCUUCUCAUGUGAUGAUGUGCUUAUUGUCAGGAAAAACAAUUUGCCUC
Molecule: long non-coding RNA, 1926 nt
Organism: Capra hircus (goat)
Lineage: Eukaryota; Metazoa; Chordata; Mammalia; Artiodactyla; Bovidae
Source: Ensembl